GACGAACUGUGCAAACGUUAUUCGGAAUCACUGGGCUUGAAGAGUGCGUAGGCGGUUUCGUAAGUAGGGUGUGAAAGCCCUCGGCUCAACCGGGGAAUUGCGUCCUAAACUGCGAGGCUAGAGUGAGGUAGGGGUGUGCGGAACUUCCAGUGGAGCGGUGAAAUGUGUUGAUAUUGGAAGGAACGCCGGUGGCGAAAGCGGCACACUGGACCUUGUCUGACGCUGAGGCACGAAAGCCAGGGGAGCAAAC
This 250-nucleotide ribosomal RNA is filed under the name uncultured bacterium. RNAcentral's name for it is "partial 16S ribosomal RNA". It matches the Rfam family "Bacterial small subunit ribosomal RNA", at positions 524 to 773 of the family's 1533-position model. The record is from RNAcentral.